This 6445-nucleotide long non-coding RNA is filed under the name Homo sapiens (human). RNAcentral describes it as "HSALNT0024068". The record is from RNAcentral. Lineage: Eukaryota; Metazoa; Chordata; Mammalia; Primates; Hominidae.
AACACCACCUGCCAACAUUCAGCCUCCUCUGCCCAUCAGCCUUGCUGACACAGGGAGUGGAGAUUUGUGUAGAGAAAUGACUCAUUCAAAUAUGACUUAAUCUAAACCGUAAGUGUAUGAUUUAUUAAUGUGCCACCAGGCCUUACACCAAGAGAGCCAUUCCAGAGAAAAGUCCUUUUUCUCCUGAGAACAGUGCCAGCAGCUGGCUUCGUGACAUUCUGGAAGCCCCGUGCAAUGCUGUCAGGAGCAUAGGGAUUUUACUUUAUCUCCCUUGCUUAUGCUCCACAUAACUGAAAUAUCUCACUGGAAGCUGCAGCAGUGCUGGCCCCUUGCACAGCCAUAUGUGACCACUGCAGAACAAUCAGUUGGAGAGACAGUUUGGACUACAUGGAGGGUGGAGAUAAGGACAAAGUGAAGAAUACACAGGAACCAGUGCCUCCUCCUGGAACUAUGCAACUCCAAGCUGCUUCCAUCAGCUGCUAGGUCCAGUAGGGAGGGACCUACUGAGAGAAGGUGCCUGCUUCCCUUUCCGCUGUGAUUACAGGAAACGCCACGAAGUGUCUGGAUCAAAGAACAGACUAUUGCUCACAGAGCACCUUCAUAGCAUUGUUCCUCAUGCCCCCGUUGCCCAAGGGGAUGGCAGGUUGAGGACCAGAUGUACUUGCAUGUUCAGGGGAUGCAGCACAGAAGAGGAACUCCAAAAUUAUUAUUAUUAUUGUUAUUAUUAUUAUUUUUGAGAUGGAGUCUCGCUCUGUCGCCCAGCCUGGAGUGCAGUGGCGUGAUCUCGGCUCACUGCAAGCUCCGCCUCCCGGGUUCACGCCAUUCUCCUGCCUCAGCCUCCCGAGUAGCUGGGACUACAGGCACGCACCGCCACGCCCUGUUAAUUUUUUUUGUAUUUUUUUUUAGUAGAGACAGGGUUUCACCGUGUUAGCCAGGAUGGUCUUGAUCUCCUGACCUCGUGAUCCACCCGCCUCGGCCUCCCAAAGUGCUGGGAUUACAGGCGUGAGCCACCGCGCCCGGCCGAACUCCAAAAUUAUUAAACUCUGAGCGUCUGCAGGUGACUGACACAUCUGCGCUUCCUUUCUUCCAGGGUGUGGGGAAGAGCGAGAAAAAGAUUUCCGCUCUGGAAGGUAAACAAAUACUCUCUGGAGAGAGAAGAGGAAUGUCCCUAGCAGAUGUCUCCAGAGAAGACAAGACUUUAAAUUCCGCCAGGGAAAUAUACAAUGUCUAACUUCUAAGGCACAUUUGCCAUUCAAUCAUGCUUUAACCCACGUUGCCAGAAAUUUUUGCUCACUAGGUUUUGACUGUACAGGAAUGUGAAAAUAUUCAUGAAGAGUUGUUUUCCAAUGCUAAAGAAUUGAUGUGUUUUAACAGUUGAAUUAAUUGUAUUGAUUAUGAUCACACCUACUUUUUAUAUAUCUUCAUUUCUAACGUUUCUGUACAAUCCUGCCUUUCCACCUGAUAUAGUUAGGCCUUGUGUCAUCAACCAAAUCUCAUCUUGAAUUGUAAUCGCCAUAAUCCCCACGUAUUUAGGGAGAGACCUGGAGGGAGGUGUUUGGAUCAUGGGGGCGGUUUCCCGCAUGCUGUUCUCAUGACCAUGAGAGUAAGUUCUCAAGAGAUCUGAUGGUUUUAUAAGCGUCUGUCAUUUCCACUGCUUGCACUUCUGUGUCCUGCCACCUUGUGAAGAAGGACGUGGUUGCUUCCCCUUCCACCAUGAUUGUGUUUCCUGAGGCCUCCCCAGCCUUGCAGAGCUGUGAGUCAAUUAAACCUCUUUCCUUUAUAAAUUACUCAGUCUCUGUAUUCCUCUGCAGCAGUGUGAGAACAGACUAAUACAUCACCACUUUAUUUACUUUACUCUCUCCCCAUACCGAGGUUUUCUACAUUUUCUUUCUAGGUCUCUACAGUUUCUGCAAAGAUCCUUUAUGGAACUCUUAGGGAAGCUGGGAUGUAUAAUAAAUAAAGGGCUCUUUUCUUUGAGUCCCACACCCAUUUUCUGUGUAUAAAAAUCUUCAACUCCACUUUUGUCUGUUCUAUUUAAAUGUGUGCACAUUUCCUUCUAAUGUUGUAUAUGAAAAAGAGACACCUCUUAGCAGUCUUUCAUAGAGCAAAAUUUUUUACUUUGAUAAAAUCUAAUUUAUCAAUAUUUUUAAAUUUUAUGGAUCAAUCAUGCUUUUGAGGUUGAAUUUAAGAAUGCUUUGCCUAGCCCUAGAUCCCAAGUAUCUUUUAAAAAUUAUUUUUCUAAAUGCAUUAUUUAUGUUUUACACUUAAGUCUAUAAUCCAUUUUGAGUCCAUGUGUAAGAUUUAGGUUAAGGUCAAGAUUUAUCUGUUUUUGUUGUUUUCUCUAUAAAUGUCAAUUGCUCCAGCACUAUUUGUUUAAAAGCCAAUCUUUCCUCCGCUGAGUUCUUCCUAUAAGUUUGUCAAAAGUCAAUUUGGCAUCUUUGUAUAAGUUUAUUUCUGGAUUCUCUAUUCUGUUUUAUUGAUCACUGCAUCUAUCCCUCUUGAUUAGCUAGAUAAUAAAUCCUACAAUAAGGUAGAAUUCUUCCCACUUUAUUCAUAUUCAAAAUAUUUUAAAGCUAUUCUAGUUUCUUUUUAUUUCCAUAUAUAUUUUAGGAUAAUCUUAUCUAUAUUUACAACAUAUGUUGCUAGGAUUUUGAUAGAAUUUGUUUUAAAUUUGUGUAUCAAUGUAGGGAAGACCUGACAUCUUUACUAUUACGUUGAUCUUCCAAUCAAUGAAUAUGGUAUAUCUCUCAGUUUAUAGCUAUUGUCUUUAAUUUAUUUCAUCAUGGUUUUUAGUUUUCAGCAGAGAAGCUUUAUACAUGUUUUGUUAUACAUGUAUAACAAAAGAAGCCUUAUACACUGACAUUUUAUAUUUUGAACAAUUGUAAAUGGUAUUGUUUAAAAAUUUUGUUGUCUAUGAUAGAAAUAAAAUUGAUUUUUGUAGGUUUAUCUUGUAACCUAUGACUUGCUGAGCUCGCUCAUUAGUUUUUUUAUUGUGAUAAAAUAUACAUGAGAUAAAUUUCAUCAUUAUAAUCAUUAAGUUUAGACAUCAAUUGCAUUAAGUACAUAAAUGCCUUAUGCAACCAUCAUCUCUAUCCAUCUCCAGACCCUUUGCAUCACCCUAAAAUGAAACUCUGUGCCCAUUAAACAAUAACUCCCCAUUCUGCCCUCACCCCAGCCCUUGGUAAUUACCAUCCUACCUUUUAUCUCUAUAAAUUUAACCAUCCCAGGUAACUCAUAUAAGUGGAAUCAUGCAGUGUUUGUCCUUUUGUAACUGGUUUAUUUCACUUAGCAUGAUGUCUUCAAGGUUUGCCUAUGUCAUAGCAUGUGUCAGAAUUUCAUCCCUUUUUAAACUUAAAUAAUAUUCCACUGUAGGCAUAUGCCACAUUUUGUUUAUUUGUUCAUCUGUUGAUGGGCAUUUGGGUUGUUUCCACCUUUUGGCUACUGUGAAUAAUGCUGCUGUGAUCAUGGGUAUGCAACUGUCUCCUGGAGUCCCUGCUAUCAAUUCUUGUGGGUAUAUACCCAGAAGUGGAAUUGUUGCAACAUAUAGUAAUUCUAUGUUUAAUUUUUUGAGGACCUGCCAUAAUGUUUUCCACAGUAGCUACAUUGUCUUAUAUUCCCAUUAAGAGUUCCAAUUUCCUCACAUCUUCACCAAUACUUAUUGUUUUCUGUUUUUUUAAAUAAUAGCCAUCAUAAUAAAAGUAACAUGGUAUCUCAUUGUGGUUUUAACUGCAUUUCCCUUUUUACUGGAUUGUUUGUAAUAUUGCUGUAAUUGAGUUGUAGGAGUUUUUAAAUAUGUUCUGAAUAAUUAAUUUCUUAUCAGAUAUGUCAUUUGCAAAUAUUUUCUGCCAUUCUCUGGGUUGUCAUUUCACUCUCUUGAUAGUGUCCUUUGAUGCACAGAAGUUUUGAAAUUUGAUAAAGUUUAAUUUGCGUAUGUAUUUAUUUUGUUGCUUAUGCUUUUGGUGUCAUAUCCAAGAAAUUAUUGCCAAAUUCAGUGUCAUGAAGAUUUUCCCCUGUGUUUUCCUCUAAGAGUAUUAUAGUUUUAACUCUUGCACUUAGAUUGAUCCGCUUUGAGUUAAUUUUAGUAUAUGGGGUAAGACAAGGGCUCAAAUUUGUUCUUUUGUUUGAAGAUUCUAGGUCAUUUGUGAUCUUUAGGAUUUUCUAUGUAGACAUUAAUGUCAUCUUCAAAUAUGAACAGUUUAUUUCUUCCUUUUGUAUAUGUAUGAAUUUACUUUCCUUUUCUUGCCUUAUUGCACUGGCUAGAGUUUUCAGUACUAUGAUGAAUAAAAUCAGUGAGAGCAGACACCCUUGCUUUGUUUCUAAUCUUAGGAGGAAAGCUUUCAGUCUUUCAUCAUUAGGUAUACUGUUAGUUGUAGGCUUAUUAUAGAUGCUCUUUAUCAGGUUGAGGCAGUUUCCUCCUUGGUUAAGACUUUCUAUUUUUCAUUUUCAGUUAUGACCAGGCAUGUUCAUAACUGCUCAUCAAAACUUUGAAUUAGUGGCUGCUUUAACAUCCUUCUCAGACAAUUCUAACAUCUGUUUUGUUGGUGGUGGCAUCUAUCAAUUGUCUUUUUCAUUCUGUUUGAGAUCUUCCUUGCGUUUGGUAUGAUUUUUUUAAAUAUUAUGUCAUGAAACUGCAUCUUAUUUAAAUCUUCUGUUUUAGUUGGCUAUGUCUGACAUCACUUCCCCAGGGGAAGGUGUUGUUACUGCUAGUGGAGGGUGAGAAUUAUGGCUCUCCACUGACAUUGUGGUGGGAUUGGUCCCAUUACCACUGGGCAGGGUUGAAAGUCCUGACUUUCUGCUAGGCCUUCUCUGACUUCAUCGCAGCAGGAGGAAAAGAUGCCUCUGGAGUUGAAGUCAGGUUGCACUGACACUGUGUGUGUAUGGAGGUAGGCUGGGGUGAAAGUGGAGACUCAUUACCACAUGGUGAGUAGUUUCCAGCUCUCUAUUUGGCCUUCUCUGAUACCACCCAGACAGGGACAUUGGGGAUACCUCAUUACAGCCUAGUGAGGGUCAAACUCUAGGCUCCCCACUCAGUCUUUGCUAUCAUGGACACUGUAGGACCAUAGUUUUUUCUGUGCUGUUUGCUUGAUGUGUCUUCCUUGGACCCUGAGUUCCAUAGCUGGUCUGCAUUCCUCUCUCCACCUUUAAGACGUCUUCUUAUGUUUAUUUCAUAUUUAACAUCCAGGGUGGUAAUUAGAGGGAAGAAUAGAGGGAAAAGUACAGUUGCACUUUGUUGUUCAAAGAGCAGUUUUGAACUGCACAGACCCAUUUCUCUGAGCACACCCAGGGAUGAUUGUACUUGUAUAAAAUUUUUUUCCUGGAUGCAGAAUUCUCAAUUGACUGUGAAAGUUCAUAACAAAGAAAACAGUGGGGAAGACAAAUCUGGAAAUGAGGAAAAUAAAAAUUAAAUAGUGAGACCACCCAUGGAGCUUGUGGCAAAGCCUGAAUUGAAUCCGCUGUAUCUUAAGAUUGUGCCUCAUUCUAAAUUUAAGUCACCCUUCUCAUUAUGAAAGUGUCACAACUUCUCAGUAGGUGAGGAGACAGUCUAAAUUUGAGAAAAGAAAGUUACAACAAAGGUUUUGAGCAAGCUGCUAAGUGGAUUUAUUCAUGUUUGAGAAAUCAAAUAUAUGGUUAAUGAGCUCUUUAACUAGAAGCCAACACUAGGGAGGAGUAGACAGAAGUCACGGGGAGGGAGCCCCCGGACAUUUCAAAAGACUUUGCCCUGCAACAUCUCCUCCACAUUUAAGCUUUUAGGUUAUUGUAGCCACAUCACAAGCAUGUUACCUACCCAGAUAUUGUCUGCGCAUCAUUCCCAAAAGCUUCCCUGGGUCUUCAUAAUAUUAAUGAGAUUCUCCCCCAGGUUAGACCCCUUUGGCUUGAGUCAGAAACAGAAUUAAUCCGGGGGACAAUCCAGCAGCACCCAUCUCUGGGUUGCAGAAAUAUCUGAGGUGACCAGGCAGUGUUUGGAGUCCCCUCAGUUAGCUAACAAAGUGAGUUCACAGCUUCCAAGACCCCAGGCUUUCCAGGCUAAUAAAGAGCUGAGGUUAUAGGCUCUCCUUAUCAAACGCUCUUUGGCAGCUGCCAUAACCAUUCCAAGUCUAGUCCUAGAAUAGAAAUGACGCGGUUUCAGGAGCUGACAGAUGGAACUUUAAGCCUUCCUUCCUGCCACAUCUGAAGUUCUUUUUUAAAAAAAUAGAAAACCAUGACAAUAAACACUCCUUGAAUGCCCUGUGGAAAAGUGUACUCCUCAGAAUUCACUAAAGUGGGGUGAAGCAGUGGGUUGUGGUGCUGAGAAAACAUCUCUUCCCCUCGGCAGUAUAUUGGAAUCUCAUAGAAACUUCUGUGGCUGGGAAGCAAACAUGCUCUCUGCCCCAUUGCUCUUAUUCAUCUUUAGACCUGAUAAUACAGUUUGAACUUCAAGUUGCACUUUAAAUGGCAUGCAUUUUUA